Molecule: ribosomal RNA, 253 nt
Filed under: uncultured bacterium
Lineage: Bacteria
Description: partial 16S ribosomal RNA
Rfam family: Bacterial small subunit ribosomal RNA
Source: RNAcentral
UACGUAGGGGGCAAGCGUUAUCCGGAUUUACUGGGUGUAAAGGGAGCGUAGACGGCCAGACAAGUCAGAAGUGAAAGCCCAGGGCUCAACCCUGGGACUGCUUUUGAGACUGCCGGGCUGGAGUGCAGGAGAGGUAAGCGGAAUUCCUAGUGUAGCGGUGAAAUGCGUAGAUAUUAGGAGGAACACCAGUGGCGAAGGCGGCUUACUGGACUGUAACUGACGUUGAGGCUCGAAAGCGUGGGGAGCAAACAGG